This 478-nucleotide ribosomal RNA is filed under the name uncultured bacterium. Its description in RNAcentral is "partial 16S ribosomal RNA". It matches the Rfam family "Bacterial small subunit ribosomal RNA", at positions 28 to 507 of the family's 1533-position model. The record is from RNAcentral.
GAUUAACGCUGGCGGCGUGCGUAACACAUGCAAGUCGAACGAUGAAACUCAUUAGAUUUCUUCGGAAUGAAAAUGAAUGGAUUAGUGGCGAACGGGUGAGUAACGCGUGAGUAACCUGCCUUACACAAGGGGAUAGCCUCUGGAAACGGAGAAUAAUACCCUAUGAAACCAGACAAUCGCAUGAUAAUCUGGUCAAAAUGUUUAGUGGUGUAAGAUGGACUUGCGUCUGAUUAGCUAGUUGGUGAGAUAAAAGCUCACCAAGGCAACGAUCAGUAGCCGGCUUGAGAGAGUGUACGGCCACAUUGGGACUGAGACACGGCCCAGACUCCUACGGGAGGCAGCAGUGGGGAAUUUUGCACAAUGGGGGAAACCCUGAUGCAGCGACGCCGCGUGAUUUAGAAGGCCUUCGGGUUGUAAAAAUCUUUUGUAUAGGAAGAAAAUGACAGUACUAUACGAAUAAGGUCCGGCUAAUUACGUG